GGACGACGUAGUAGACUAUGGCUUUAUAAGGAUGUCUGUCACAUCUUAAUGAAUGAUACGGGAACAAAUCUAAUUGAAGGUGUAGUCCUGGAUUAUAUGUUUGAUCAAGGAGAAAGAUACAUGAGUUCUAAAGCCUUCUUGAAGAUGAAAGCUCUCAGAUUGCUCAUACUUCGCAAUUUAAACCUCUCCAAAGACAUUAAAUAUCUUUCCAAUGAAUUAAGGUACUUGGAAUGGCAUGGGUAUCCUUCCAAAUCUUUGCCACAAACUU
This 268-nucleotide unclassified non-coding RNA is filed under the name Hevea brasiliensis (rubber tree). Lineage: Eukaryota; Viridiplantae; Streptophyta; Magnoliopsida; Malpighiales; Euphorbiaceae. The record is from RNAcentral.